GAUGAACGCUGGCGGCGUGGAUGAGGCAUGCAAGUCGAAUGGGUUUAGACCCAUGGCAGACGAGGUAGGAACACGUAGGUACGUACCCUAGAGUCGCGGAUACUCCGGUGAAAAUCGGCAUAAUACGCGAUGGUCCCUUCGGGGUAAAGUUUUAACGCUCUAGGAACGGCCUGCGGUCUAUCAGCUUGAUGGUAAGGUAACGGCUUACCAUGGCUACGACGGAUAGGGGAGGUGAGAGCCUGACCCCCACCGAUGGAACUGAGACACGGUCCAUACUCCUACGGGAGGCCGCAGUCGAGAAUCUUCCGCAAUGGACGAAAGUCUGACGGAGCGACGCCGCGUGGUGGAUGAAGUACUUAGGUACGUAAACACCUUUUAUGAGUGAAGAAGUAUAUUGACAUUAACUCAUGAAUAAGGGGCUCCUAACUCUG
Molecule: ribosomal RNA, 431 nt
Filed under: uncultured bacterium
Lineage: Bacteria
Description: bacterial SSU rRNA
Rfam family: Bacterial small subunit ribosomal RNA
Source: RNAcentral